This 1447-nucleotide ribosomal RNA is filed under the name Macrhybopsis aestivalis (speckled chub). RNAcentral's name for it is "partial 16S ribosomal RNA". It matches the Rfam family "Bacterial large subunit ribosomal RNA". Lineage: Eukaryota; Metazoa; Chordata; Actinopteri; Cypriniformes; Leuciscidae. The record is from RNAcentral.
UGCAAAUUGGAUUACCCUGAGCUAACCAGCUAGCUUAUACAUUACUAUAAUUUAGCAAUAUUUAUAACAUUACAAGACUUAACCCUAUAAAUUAAAACAUUUUUUUACCUGAGUAUGGGAGACAGAAAAGGUUUAUCAUAAAGCAAUAGAAAAAGUACCGUAAGGAAAGCUGAAAGAGAAAUGAAAUAACCCAUAUAAGCACUAAAAACCAAAGACUAAAACUUGUACCUUUUGCAUCAUGAUUUAGCCAGUAUUAUCAAGCAAAGAGAUCUUUAGUUUGAUACCCCGAAACCAGGUGAGCUACCCCGAGACUGCCUAUAUAAUUUAGGGCUAACCCGUCUCUGUGGCAAAAGAGUGGGAAGAGCUCCGGGUAGAAGUGACAGACCUACCGAACCUGGUGAUAGCUGGUUGCCUGAGAAAUGAAUAGAAGUUCAGCCUCGCACACCCUUAAUCAAACAAUACAUCGCUAAGAUUAGUGGAAAAAUACGAGAGUUAGUUGAAGGGGGUACAGCCCCUUUAACAAAGGAUACAACCUUUACAGGAGGAUAAAGAUCAUAAUAUAUAAAACAUAAUGUUAUAGUGGGCUUGAAAGCAGCCAUCUAAGUAGAAAGCGUUAAAGCUCGGACGGAAAGGAGUCUAUUAUACCGAUAAAAAAUCUUAUUCCCCUAAAUAUAUUAGGCCAACCCAUGCCCACAUGGGUGAGAUUAUGCUAAAAUGAGUAACAAGAAGACCUGAUCUUCUCGACUAAGUUCAACGGCCGCGGUAUUAUGACCGUGCAAAGGUAGCGCAAUCACUUGUCUUUUAAAUAGAGACCCGUAUGAAUGGCUAAACGAGGGCUUAACUGUCUCCCCCUUCCUGUCAGUGAAAUUGAUCUAUCCGUGCAGAAGCGGGUAUAACACUACAAGACGAGAAGACCCUUUGGAGCUUAAGGUACAAAAUUUUAACCACGUUAAACAACUCCAAAAAAAGCAAGAACCUAGUGGAUCUAAAACUUUACCUUCGGUUGGGGCGACCACGGAGGAAAGAAAAGCCUCCGAGUGGAAUAGGCCAAGACCCUAAAGCCGAAAGAAACAUCUUUAAGCCGCAGAACAUCUGACCAACAAUGAUCCGACCAUGAGUCGAUCAACGAACCAAGUUACCCAAGGGAUAACAGCGCAAUCCUCUCCCAGAGCCCUUAUCAGCGAGGGGGUUUACGACCUCGAUGUUGGAUCAGGACAUCCUAAUGGUGCAGCCGCUAUUAAGGGUUCGUUUGUUCAACGAUUAAAGUCCUACGUGAUCUGAGUUCAGACCGGAGCAAUCCAGGUCAGUUUCUAUCUGUAACGCUACUUUUCCUAGUACGAAAGGAUCGGAAAAAGGGGGCCCAUACUUAAGGCAUGCCCCACCCCUAAUUCAUGAAAACAAAUAAAUAAAUAAGGGGGGGCUAAAACUACCGCCCAAGAUGAGGGCA